CCUACGGGGGGCUGCAGUCGAGAAUCAUUCACAAUGGGGGAAACCCUGAUGGUGCGACGCCGCGUGGGGGAAUGAAGGUCUUCGGAUUGUAAACCCCUGUCAUGUGGGAGCAAAUUAAAAAGAUAGUACCACAAGAGGAAGAGACGGCUAACUCUGUGCCAGCAGCCGCGGUAAUACAGAGGUCUCAAGCGUUGUUCGGAAUCACUGGGCGUAAAGCGUGCGUAGGCUGUUUCGUAAGUCGUGUGUGAAAGGCGCGGGCUCAACCCGCGGACGGCACAUGAUACUGCGAGACUAGAGUAGUGGAGGGGGAGCCGGAAUUCUCGGUGUAGCAGUGAAAUGCGUAGAUAUCGAGAGGAACACUCGUGGCGAAGGCGGGUUCCUGGACAUUAACUGACGCUGAGGCACGAAGGCCAGGGGAGCGAAAGGGAUUAGAUACCCCAGUAGUC
This 446-nucleotide ribosomal RNA is filed under the name uncultured bacterium. Its description in RNAcentral is "partial 16S ribosomal RNA". It matches the Rfam family "Bacterial small subunit ribosomal RNA", at positions 338 to 795 of the family's 1533-position model. The record is from RNAcentral.